RNAcentral lists this ribosomal RNA (496 nucleotides) under uncultured bacterium. RNAcentral describes it as "partial 16S ribosomal RNA". It matches the Rfam family "Bacterial small subunit ribosomal RNA", at positions 28 to 507 of the family's 1533-position model. The record is from RNAcentral.
GAUGAACGCUGGCGGCGUGCCUAAUACAUGCAAGUCGAGCGAACGGACGAGAAGCUUGCUUCUCUGAUGUUAGCGGCGGACGGGUGAGUAACACGUGGAUAACCUACCUAUAAGACUGGGAUAACUUCGGGAAACCGGAGCUAAUACCGGAUAAUAUUUUGAACCGCAUGGUUCAAAAGUGAAAGACGGUCUUGCUGUCACUUAUAGAUGGAUCCGCGCUGCAUUAGCUAGUUGGUAAGGUAACGGCUUACCAAGGCAACGAUGCAUAGCCGACCUGAGAGGGUGAUCGGCCACACUGGAACUGAGACACGGUCCAGACUCCUACGGGAGGCAGCAGUAGGGAAUCUUCCGCAGUGGGCGAAGGCCUGACGGAGCAACGCCGCGUGAGUGAUGAAGGUCUGCGGAUCGUAAAACUCUGUUAUUAGGGAAGAACAUAUGGUAAGUAACUGUGCACAUCUUGACGGUACCUAAUCAGAAAGCCACGGCUAACUACGUG